Molecule: long non-coding RNA, 292 nt
Organism: Salarias fasciatus (jewelled blenny)
Lineage: Eukaryota; Metazoa; Chordata; Actinopteri; Blenniiformes; Blenniidae
Exons: 3
Source: RefSeq, a predicted model, not a curated record
AUUUUGAAUUAGUUCUGGGCUGUACUUCAAUCCUGUAUCUGCCCUCUCUGAUGCAAAGAGUAUUUGUUGCCUCAGGUCCAUGGCUCGAACUAGAAACUGGACUGGAGUCUCUCUGGGCUCUUGUGCAGCACGUGGUGAACAGCAGUGGCACUCCUUUCAGAAAAGUUCAUAGCAGUAGUGGUGGUUGACAUUGUGGCAGAGUCACUUUCAACAAUAAGGACAGUCCUUCGUCUUCAAGCGAUGUGACAUCUUCCCCCUCUAAGUGCAGGAGAAUAAUCCUUCUCACUUUGCG